This 301-nucleotide ribosomal RNA is filed under the name uncultured bacterium. RNAcentral describes it as "partial 16S ribosomal RNA". It matches the Rfam family "Bacterial small subunit ribosomal RNA", at positions 509 to 809 of the family's 1533-position model. The record is from RNAcentral.
CAGCCGCCGCGGUAAAACGUAGGUGGCAAGCGUUGUCCGGAAUUAUUGGGCGUAAAGGGCUCGCAGGCGGUUUCUUAAGUCUGAUGUGAAAGCCCCCAGCUCAACCGGGGAGGGUCAUUGGAAACUGGGAAACUUGAGUGCAGAAGAGGAGAGUGGAAUUCCACGUGUAGCGGUGAAAUGCGUAGAGAUGUGGAGGAACACCAGUGGCGAAAGCACUCUGCUGGGCCGACACUGACACUGAGAGACGAAAGCUAGGGGAGCAAAUGGGAUUAGAUACCCCAGUAGUCCCUGUCUCUUAUAA